Non-coding RNA from Phalacrocorax carbo (great cormorant), 130 nucleotides. NCBI's taxonomy places the organism in Eukaryota, Metazoa, Chordata, Aves, Suliformes, Phalacrocoracidae. The record is from RefSeq and is a predicted model, not a curated record.
AGGCUUCGGAGGGGAGACGCCGCGUGCCGACGAGAGGUCCGAGAGGUUGUGCGCCGGCUGCCUUUGGGCCUGGAUGCGCGUUUGAGAUGAUGAAAAGGCACCUGGCCCUUGGAGGACCGAUGCAGUGGGC